RNAcentral lists this ribosomal RNA (352 nucleotides) under uncultured eukaryote. RNAcentral describes it as "partial 18S ribosomal RNA". It matches the Rfam family "Eukaryotic small subunit ribosomal RNA", at positions 592 to 976 of the family's 1831-position model. The record is from RNAcentral.
CAAUAGUGUAUAUUAACGUUGUUGCAGUUAAAAAGCUCGUAGUUGAAUUUCUGGUGGGAAGCCUUGGCUACGGUCAUGCGCAUCCACACCAUCCACGCCGGAAGCUACUACAGCACUGCUUAGUAGUGGAAGCGUGUUUUACUUUGAAGAAAUUAGAGUGUUCCAGGCAGGCUUUGCUUGAAUACAUCAGCAUGGAAUAAUGGAAUAGGACAGGUCAAUUUUAUUGGUUAUUUGACUUGUAAUGAUUAACAGGGACAGUUGGGGCGUUUGUAUUCAAUAGUCAGAGGUGAAAUUCUUGGAUUUGUUGAAGACAAACUAAAGCGAAAGCAUUCGCCAAGGAUGUUUUCAUUAA